GGCGCGGUAGCCAAGGGGCUAAGGCAACUGUCUGCAAAACAGUUAUUCAGCGGUUCGAUUCCGCUCCGCGCCU
RNAcentral lists this transfer RNA (73 nucleotides) under Candidatus Omnitrophota bacterium. RNAcentral describes it as "tRNA-Cys". It matches the Rfam family "tRNA". Rfam says of the family: Transfer RNA (tRNA) molecules are approximately 80 nucleotides in length. Their secondary structure includes four short double-helical elements and three loops (D, anti-codon, and T loops). Further hydrogen bonds mediate the characteristic L-shaped molecular structure. tRNAs have two regions of fundamental functional importance: the anti-codon, which is responsible for specific mRNA codon recognition, and the 3' end, to which the tRNAs corresponding amino acid is attached (by aminoacyl-tRNA synthetases). tRNAs cope with the degeneracy of the genetic code in two manners: having more than one tRNA (with a specific anti-codon) for a particular amino acid; and 'wobble' base-pairing, i.e. permitting non-standard base-pairing at the 3rd anti-codon position. Lineage: Bacteria; Pseudomonadati; Candidatus Omnitrophota. The record is from RNAcentral.